UACGUAGGUGGCGAGCGUUGUCCGGAUUUACUGGGCGUAAAGGGAGCGUAGGCGGACUUUUAAGUGAGAUGUGAAAUACCCGGGCUCAACUUGGGUGCUGCAUUUCAAACUGGAAGUCUAGAGUGCAGGAGAGGAGAAUGGAAUUCCUAGUGUAGCGGUGAAAUGCGUAGAGAUUAGGAAGAACACCAGUGGCGAGGGCGAUUCUCUGGACUGUAACUGACGCUGAGGCUCGAAAGCGUGGGGAGCAAACAGGAUUAGAUACCCCU
This 266-nucleotide ribosomal RNA is filed under the name uncultured prokaryote. RNAcentral's name for it is "partial 16S ribosomal RNA". It matches the Rfam family "Bacterial small subunit ribosomal RNA", at positions 524 to 788 of the family's 1533-position model. The record is from RNAcentral.